ACUUCCCCUGGGCAAGGGGGUGUGGUAUGGAAAAGAUCUCAAGUUCAUCAGCUACUACAUGAUUGCAGAGACACAUUUUGAAAGAGAAGAAUGCCAAUGGAGUGGCAAUUUUUGGAGCAGCAGUGAUUAUUUAAGUAGAUCCUGGUCUGCAUUGGUCAAGGUGGAUGGGGCUCUAAGCAAAUUGACCUAGUCAAGAGAAUGUCUCUGCUCACUGCAAGAGGAUUGAACUAGAUUACUUUUAAAGGCCACAUACAACCUAAAACAUCCCUCUUCUUCAGAAGCAACUCCAUUCCAGAAACUGCUUAAUAUAAAUCACAAGACAGCAGCCCGAUUAGUAAAUCCUUUUUGGAAGAAGAUGCAGUAAUCUAGGCACAGUUGUUUUUUUCACCUGGUGUACUUCCCUUCUGACUGCAGCUAUCCAUUUCCCAACCAGGCAGAAGUGCAAAGCGAGCAACUGCCCAGUCUGUGCCUACACACAUGAUCUACAGCAGAGCUCUACCAUGGCCACUAUAAUCACUAUCACCACAGAAACGGUAAUUAUUGAUGGAGGAUUCUACCUAGUACUGUUUGCCAUAUUGCUCUUUGUUACAGUAUAAAUAACCUCUUUUCUAUCUAAAAUGAUUCAACUGUGCUUUUAUAGAACAUUGAUAUGUGCUCAAAUACAUUAGUUUUAUAGUAAAAGUCUCAUUAAUUAA
Long non-coding RNA from Pogoniulus pusillus (Red-fronted tinkerbird), 695 nucleotides. RefSeq lists it as uncharacterized. The transcript is spliced from 2 exons. The record is from RefSeq and is a predicted model, not a curated record. NCBI's taxonomy places the organism in Eukaryota, Metazoa, Chordata, Aves, Piciformes, Lybiidae.